UGGUAUCUAAAUUAAUCUGGAGACAUGUCAGAUUACUGUAGUUUGUUCAGUCAAACAUUUCAUGGCUAACUAUUAAGCUAUCUUGCCAUGACCGAUGUAACACCGCAACCAAAAAAGACUUGUCAAAUUAGCCAAAUCAUUACUGUACCAUGAAUGCUCCUAUCUCCGACACACACACAAAAAAUAACUCUUGCACGCCUUGCGUGCCUAUGUUUUGCCCUAGAACGUAUAUUGUCCCAUCGCAACACAGACUCAUCUGGCUACAGUAAUUUGCAUAUCGAUGGUAGGGAGGUAAUCAUCGUUUGGAAUGUAGGAAGGUGGUGAACUUUGUGGAGCUUGACAAGCCAUCUGUUAAGUUUUUUACUCACCUUUUUGGUCAGCUUUUGUCAGGCUAUUCAACGGAGAUAACAAGAAAUAUUUUUGAAAGAAUUUCUGCAGUAAAGGAGCUUUCAUUCUUUCGCCAAAGCCUUCGAAUUUUCAUCAAACACUUUGUUGCAAAAUCGACAUGGACUGAUAUGAACGAAAGACUUAAUCUUGUAGAUGGUAUUCUUGGAGCUUCAGACACCACCAAACUUUAGAUACAUUUGCGGAAUGGACGAAAAUUUACUGACUUUACAUCCUACUAGGAAGUAGUAUAAUUUUUAUGUUAAGAUGACGUCAUCUGUGAUAUUGGAGCAUCUCGUCAUGCGUUGUGUCCACUAAGAGGCCUUUUUUAAUUUAGUUGUCAGUUGUGAUAAAAUUUGUCAGGCUGGCUCGUCUCCCUAACUGCUACUAUUGCAAUGUAGUAUGGGAAAAAGUGACGGGUUAGAUCAACGUCCAUCAUGGCAAAGAUGUUUGUUCUCAAAUGUUUAUUUUUGAGCUGAGCAAACAUUUAAUACUGGAAAAAAAAAACUUCUUCUGUUGGGCAAAUUCCUUUGUUCAGAAGAUUAAUAUUUCACGGAACAACUAUUGCUGUACUGACAAAUAUAUAUGAAUUGUACAGUUGCAGUUGCAAAGCAAAUCAAAAACAUCUAGGUAGAAAGUAUUCAGCGGAACAAGGAGGCUGGAAGGCGUCCAUUAAAAUUCAUCAUUUGCGCGUGCAUGUAGACUCGUAGCCGAAACUAUUAGUCACCAGCAAGUAAGGAAGCCGAAAUUCAUGAACUUCAACAGUUCGUUCGGUUGCACUGACUUGAAGUUAACUAAAACUAAUUAGUAGAAUUCCACUCGUAUACUGAUACAAGUGCUGCAAUCUGAUUGCCUGAACUACUCCUACACUAUCAGACAUUAGUAGCCACUCAGCUGUGUUCUAUUAAAAAUCCGCGAAUCAGAUUG
Molecule: long non-coding RNA, 1311 nt
Filed under: Orbicella faveolata
Lineage: Eukaryota; Metazoa; Cnidaria; Anthozoa; Scleractinia; Merulinidae
Description: uncharacterized LOC110050846, transcript variant X1
Source: RNAcentral